GACGAACGCUGGCGGCGUGCUUAACACAUGCAAGUCGAACGGAAAGGCGCGGCUCUUGCUGGGUGCUCGAGUGGCGCGCGGGUGAGUAACACGUGAGUAACCUGCCCUUGACUGUGUGGUAACUUCAGGGAACUGGGGCUAAUACCGGGUAGGAGCUCCUGCUCCAUGGGGGGCGAUGGAAAGUUUCGGCGUUGGUGGAUGGACUCGCGGCUUAUCAGCUGGUUGGUGGGGUAGUGGCUUACCAAGGGUUUGACGGGUAGCCUGCCUGGGAGCGUGGACGGGGACCUGGGGCCUGCGGGACGGAGCAGUCGGGAAUGGGAGGCAGUGGGGGGGAACCUGGCACAGCGAGGCGGAGUGUGAUACGGCAGCGCUGCGUGCGUGAUGACGUCUUUCGGGUGGUAAACCGCUUUGGCCUGAGACGAAGCGUGAGUGACGGUACUGGAUAAAGAAGCACCGGCUAACUACGUG
This 468-nucleotide ribosomal RNA is filed under the name uncultured bacterium. Its description in RNAcentral is "partial 16S ribosomal RNA". It matches the Rfam family "Bacterial small subunit ribosomal RNA", at positions 28 to 507 of the family's 1533-position model. The record is from RNAcentral.